GUAGACAGCCCUCUUGAAUCUUGAUUAAUUCUCUAAUUUGUUUCAUUAGCAAUUGAUUAAAAAUAAAUCUUAUAUCUAAUCAAAAUUAUUCUCAAAUUUGUUCUAUUCAUGCGGAGCUGGAUUAGUUCUAUGUCAACCUUCCUUAGCAAACUGAUGUGAAUGUGAAUCAGAAUUUCCUGUCACCCCUUGUUUGUGUCCAUUGUUUUCCGAAAAACCUCGGAAAUAAUGUUUUGGUAUUGACUUG
Molecule: long non-coding RNA, 244 nt
Filed under: Olea europaea (common olive)
Lineage: Eukaryota; Viridiplantae; Streptophyta; Magnoliopsida; Lamiales; Oleaceae
Description: long non-coding RNA (OEUR_LNC001000)
Source: RNAcentral